CAUCUGGAAUAGUAUCUGCUUAACCAGAGAGACCACAACCCUAUUGAAGCCAGCAUGGAAUAUGAGCAGCGACGGUGCUAAAAGGUGUUGGGGUAUUAUAAGUAGAAACAACCUAAAGGUCUACUGAAUUCCAGCCUGAGCUCAGAUCAAAGCAUCUAACCAAGAAACAGGAGAAAUGAGUUGCUAUAACUUCAUAAUUUUGGACAUAAGGAAAAGACUAUCAAGCAUUUUCAGAAUAAGAGAUAGUGGAAGGGAGGAGGACACAGAGAGAAACACGGAUGUGUACAUCGAGCGCCCCGACAAGGGCCAGGGACCAAGCUUGCAACUGAGGUACGUGCCCUUGACC
Molecule: long non-coding RNA, 346 nt
Organism: Myotis daubentonii (Daubenton's bat)
Lineage: Eukaryota; Metazoa; Chordata; Mammalia; Chiroptera; Vespertilionidae
Source: RefSeq, a predicted model, not a curated record